Non-coding RNA from Schizosaccharomyces pombe (fission yeast), 503 nucleotides. The record is from the annotation of a GenBank genome assembly. NCBI's taxonomy places the organism in Eukaryota, Fungi, Ascomycota, Schizosaccharomycetes, Schizosaccharomycetales, Schizosaccharomycetaceae.
UAUGUUAUUCGAGGAUACCAAAAAGGGAUUGCAUCUGUAGACUGCUGAAACGGUAUGGGGUUUUUAGUUAACUCAAUUGGAUCAAUUCGUAAAAAUUUAAACAUUUCUACCAAUUCCUUUGGCGUCAACACAGAAUCUACGUCUCGAACACCGUUCUCUGAAAAUUCAUCACGACUGGCCUCAAGCUUCUUGUCAAAGCAAGGCAUGAGACUCAAAUGCCAAACAUCAUUACGUUGCAUACUGAAUUGUUGUACGGCCCAAUCCUUCAAAAUACGACCGCACGCCUGCUGAGGUGAACGAACACGAGACAAAUUAGGGAUCAAGUUAGAGUGAGUUUUCUCAACGUAACAUAUCCACCCUGGACAAGAUGAAGACAAAAUGGGAAGAACAGCAUUCUCGUUAAUGCCCGAAUUUGAUGAAGUAUUAGAAUGAACCCCUGAAAUUUGUGAAGUUGAAUGAGGAAUGAGUGGAUGUUCGUUUACGACGGAAUUGGUAACCUGGUU